AUUGAACGCUGGCGGCAUGCCUUACACAUGCAAGUCGAACGGUAACAGGUCUUCGGAUGCUGACGAGUGGCGAACGGGUGAGUAAUACAUCGGAACGUGCCCAGACGUGGGGGAUAACGAGGCGAAAGCUUUGCUAAUACCGCAUACGAUCUAAGGAUGAAAGCAGGGGACCGCAAGGCCUUGCGCGUUUGGAGCGGCCGAUGGCAGAUUAGGUAGUUGGUGGGAUAAAAGCUUACCAAGCCGACGAUCUGUAGCUGGUCUGAGAGGACGACCAGCCACACUGGGACUGAGACACGGCCCAGACUCCUACGGGAGGCAGCAGUGGGGAAUUUUGGACGAUGGGCGAAAGCCUGAUCCAGCAAUGCCGCGUGCAGGAUGAAGGCCUUCGGGUUGUAAACUGCUUUUGUACGGAACGAAAAGGCUCUGGCUAAUACCUGGGGCACAUGACGGUACCGGAAGAAUAAGCACCGGCUAACUACGUG
Molecule: ribosomal RNA, 482 nt
Filed under: uncultured bacterium
Lineage: Bacteria
Description: partial 16S ribosomal RNA
Rfam family: Bacterial small subunit ribosomal RNA
Source: RNAcentral